UGAAAUUCACCAUGGUGGGUAAA
This 23-nucleotide microRNA is filed under the name Rattus norvegicus (Norway rat). RNAcentral's name for it is "rno-miR-3551-3p". Lineage: Eukaryota; Metazoa; Chordata; Mammalia; Rodentia; Muridae. The record is from miRBase by way of RNAcentral.